This 97-nucleotide signal recognition particle RNA is filed under the name Gammaproteobacteria bacterium. RNAcentral's name for it is "signal recognition particle sRNA small type". It matches the Rfam family "Bacterial small signal recognition particle RNA". Rfam says of the family: The signal recognition particle (SRP) is a universally conserved ribonucleoprotein involved in the co-translational targeting of proteins to membranes. Archaeal SRP consists of a 7S RNA and homologues of the eukaryotic SRP19 and SRP54 proteins. The record is from RNAcentral. Lineage: Bacteria; Pseudomonadati; Pseudomonadota; Gammaproteobacteria.
CAUUGGUUCUCUCGCGACGAUAAACUGUGAAUCUGGUCAGGCCCGGAAGGGAGCAGCCACAGCGGUGGAUUCGGGUGCCGGGGUGUAGCUGGUGCGG